This 391-nucleotide ribosomal RNA is filed under the name uncultured bacterium. RNAcentral describes it as "bacterial SSU rRNA". It matches the Rfam family "Bacterial small subunit ribosomal RNA", at positions 505 to 898 of the family's 1533-position model. The record is from RNAcentral.
GUGUCAGCCGCCGCGGUAACACGUAGGGGGCGAGCGUUGUUCGGAAUUACUGGGCGUAAAGGGCAUGUAGGCGGUUUUGUAAGCCUGGCGUGAAAUUCUGCAGCUUAACUGUAGGACUGCGCUGGGAACUGCGAGACUGGAGUCACGGAGAGGGAGCCAGAAUUCCAGGUGUAGGGGUGAAAUCUGUAGAUAUCUGGAAGAAUACCAAUGGCGAAGGCAGGCUUCUGGCCGAUGACUGACGCUGAGGUGCGAAAGCGUGGGUAGCAAACAGGAUUAGAUACCCUGGUAGUCCACGCGGUAAACGAUGCACACUAGGUGCCGGGGCGGACGCUUCGGUGCCGGAGCCAACGUGGUAAGUGUGCCGCCUGGGGAGUAUGCUCGCAAGGGUGGA